RNAcentral lists this ribosomal RNA (803 nucleotides) under uncultured bacterium. RNAcentral's name for it is "bacterial SSU rRNA". It matches the Rfam family "Bacterial small subunit ribosomal RNA", at positions 8 to 806 of the family's 1533-position model. The record is from RNAcentral.
AGAGUUUGAUCCUGGCUCAGAUUGAACGCUGGCGGCAGGCCUAACACAUGCAAGUCGAGCGGAUGAAGGGAGCUUGCUCCUGGAUUCAGCGGCGGACGGGUGAGUAAUGCCUAGGAAUCUGCCUGGUAGUGGGGGAUAACGUCCGGAAACGGGCGCUAAUACCGCAUACGUCCUAAGGGAGAAAGUGGGGGAUCUUCGGACCUCACGCUAUCAGAUGAGCCUAGGUCGGAUUAGCUAGUUGGUGGGGUAAAGGCCUACCAAGGCGACGAUCCGUAACUGGUCUGAGAGGAUGAUCAGUCACACUGGAACUGAGACACGGUCUAGACUCCUACGGGAGGCAGCAGUGGGGAAUAUUGGACAAUGGGCGAAAGCCUGAUCCAGCCAUGCCGCGUGUGUGAAGAAGGUCUUCGGAUUGUAAAGCACUUUAAGUUGGGAGGAAGGGCAGUAAGUUAAUACCUUGCUGUUUUGACGUUACCAACAGAAUAAGCACCGGCUAACUUCGUGCCAGUAGCCGCGGUAAUACGAAGGGUGCAAGCGUUAAUCGGAAUUACUGGGCGUAAAGCGCGCGUAGGUGGUUCAGCAAGUUGGAUGUGAAAUCCCCGGGCUCAACCUGGGAACUGCAUCCAAAACUACUGAGCUAGAGUACGGUAGAGGGUGGUGGAAUUUCCUGUGUAGCGGUGAAAUGCGUAGAUAUAGGAAGGAACACCAGUGGCGAAGGCGACCACCUGGACUGAUACUGACACUGAGGUGCGAAAGCGUGGGGAGCAAACAGGAUUAGAUACCCUGGUAGUCCACGCCGUAAA